GCCUCUGUAGCUUAGUUGGUAGAGCGGCUGACUGUUAAUCAGCAGGUCGUAGGUUCGACUCCUACCGGGGGCG
RNAcentral lists this transfer RNA (73 nucleotides) under Candidatus Undinarchaeales archaeon. RNAcentral describes it as "tRNA-Asn". It matches the Rfam family "tRNA". Rfam says of the family: Transfer RNA (tRNA) molecules are approximately 80 nucleotides in length. Their secondary structure includes four short double-helical elements and three loops (D, anti-codon, and T loops). Further hydrogen bonds mediate the characteristic L-shaped molecular structure. tRNAs have two regions of fundamental functional importance: the anti-codon, which is responsible for specific mRNA codon recognition, and the 3' end, to which the tRNAs corresponding amino acid is attached (by aminoacyl-tRNA synthetases). tRNAs cope with the degeneracy of the genetic code in two manners: having more than one tRNA (with a specific anti-codon) for a particular amino acid; and 'wobble' base-pairing, i.e. permitting non-standard base-pairing at the 3rd anti-codon position. Lineage: Archaea; Nanobdellati; Candidatus Undinarchaeota; Candidatus Undinarchaeia; Candidatus Undinarchaeales. The record is from RNAcentral.